Marmota monax (woodchuck) is the source of this 2183-nucleotide RNA transcript. It is a transcript of the gene named alpha-1,3-mannosyl-glycoprotein 4-beta-N-acetylglucosaminyltransferase B, with no coding region annotated. The record is from RefSeq and is a predicted model, not a curated record. The transcript has 15 exons. NCBI's taxonomy places the organism in Eukaryota, Metazoa, Chordata, Mammalia, Rodentia, Sciuridae.
CCGGCCCCUGCGCCCCGGCCCCGGUCCCCCGGGCCAUGCGGCCUCGGCCCCGCCGGCGCCCGCCGCGCACCCGAGAUGAGGCUCCGCAAUGGCACCUUCCUGACGCUGCUGCUCUUCUGUCUGUGCGCCUUCCUCUCGCUUUCCUGGUACGCGGCGCUCAGCGGCCAGAAAGGCGACGUAGUGGACGUUUACCAGCGGGAGUUCCUGGCACUGCGCGACCGAUUGCACGCGGCUGAGCAGGAGAGUCUUAAGCGCUCCAAGGAGCUCAACCUGGUGCUGGAUGAGAUCAAGAGAGCCGUGUCAGAGAGACAGGCGCUGCGAGACGGAGAAGGCAAUCGCACCUGGGGCCGCCUAACAGAGGAUCCCCGACUGAAGCCGUGGAACGUCUCGCACAGGCACGUGCUGCACCUGCCCACAGUCUUCCACCACUUGCCACACCUACUGGCCAAGGAGAGCAGUCUGCAACCAGCAGUGCGCGUGGGCCAGGGCCGCACAGGAGUGUCGGUGGUGAUGGGCAUCCCGAGCGUGCGGCGCGAGGUGCACUCGUACCUGACAGACACGCUGCACUCUCUCAUUUCUGAGCUGAGUCCGCAGGAGAAGGAAGACUCCGUCAUCGUGGUGCUGAUCGCCGAGACUGACUCUCAGUAUACAUCGGCAGUGACAGAGAACAUCAAGGCCUUGUUCCCCACGGAGAUCCAUUCCGGGCUCCUGGAGGUCAUUUCCCCUUCCCCUCACUUCUACCCUGACUUCUCCCGCCUCCGAGAGUCCUUUGGGGACCCCAAGGAGAGAGUCAGGUGGAGGACCAAACAGAACCUCGAUUAUUGUUUCCUCAUGAUGUAUGCGCAGUCCAAAGGCAUCUACUAUGUACAGCUGGAGGAUGACAUCGUAGCCAAACCCAACUACCUGAGCACCAUGAAGAACUUCGCACUGCAGCAACCCUCAGAGGACUGGAUGAUCCUGGAGUUCUCCCAGCUGGGCUUCAUUGGAAAGAUGUUCAAGUCAUUGGACCUGAGCCUGAUUGUGGAGUUCAUCCUCAUGUUCUACCGGGACAAGCCCAUUGACUGGCUUCUGGACCAUAUUCUCUGGGUGAAGGUCUGCAACCCUGAAAAGGAUGCGAAGCAUUGUGACCGGCAGAAGGCCAACCUUCGGAUCCGCUUUAAGCCGUCCCUCUUCCAGCAUGUGGGCACUCACUCGUCACUGGCCGGCAAAAUCCAGAAACUGAAGGACAAGGAUUUUGGAAAGCAGGCCCUGAGGAAGGAGCAUGUGAACCCACCCGCUGAGGUGAGCACAAGCCUGAAGACAUACCAGCAUUUCACCCUGGAGAAGGCCUACCUACGUGAGGAUUUCUUCUGGGCGUUCACACCUGCUGCAGGGGACUUCAUCCGCUUCCGCUUCUUCCAACCAUUACGCCUUGAGCGGUUCUUCUUCCGCAGCGGGAACAUUGAGCACCCAGAAGACAAGCUCUUCAACACUUCUGUGGAGGUGCUGCCCUUUGACAAUCCCCAGUCAGAGAAGGAGGCCCUGCAGGAGGGCCGCUCAGCCACUCUUCGUUAUCCUCGGAGCCCUGAUGGCUACCUUCAGAUAGCACUGCCCUCCCCUAGGCUCCUUCUACAAGGGUGUGGCAGAAGGUGAGGUAGACCCUGCCUUUGGACCCCUGGAAGCACUGCGUCUGUCCAUUCAGACUGAUUCCCCAGUGUGGGUCAUUCUGAGUGAGAUCUUCCUGAAAAAAGCCGACUGAGCGAGGGCUUCUGAGGGUGCUCUGUGGCCAGCCCUGAAGCCCAUGUGUCCAAGGAUGUUGUCGUUGCUGCCCCCGGAGGGCCAGGCGCAUCCAUCCUGUCCAGAGGGUUCUGUGCAAGGCCUGGGGUCCACCGCUGGCCCGGAGGCCCCAGGAGCUGGUGCUGCCCCUGCCCGCCGGCCGCGGGAAGAGGCAGGCGGCCCCCACACUGUGCCUGAGGGCUGGCCCACUGGCUGCCCGCCGGAACUGUUCACACCCAGCCAGCUGGCUUGGGCCAGGCCGUUUUAGAAGAGCUUUUUCUUGGGCGCCCACUGUCUCUGGCGCGAACACUGGAAUGCAUAUACUACUUUAUGUGCUGUGUUUUUUAUUCUUGGAUACAUUUGAUUUUUUCACGUAAGUCCACAUAUACUUCUAUAAGAGCGUGACUUGUAAUAAAGGAUUAAUGAAG